Molecule: transfer RNA, 74 nt
Filed under: Spirochaetales bacterium
Lineage: Bacteria; Pseudomonadati; Spirochaetota; Spirochaetia; Spirochaetales
Description: tRNA-Arg
Rfam family: tRNA
About the family: Transfer RNA (tRNA) molecules are approximately 80 nucleotides in length. Their secondary structure includes four short double-helical elements and three loops (D, anti-codon, and T loops).
Source: RNAcentral
GCGCCUGUAGCUCAGAUGGAUAGAGUGCCGGACUUCGAAUCCGUGGGUCGCAGGUUCGAAUCCUGCCAGGCGUA